This 253-nucleotide ribosomal RNA is filed under the name uncultured bacterium. Its description in RNAcentral is "partial 16S ribosomal RNA". It matches the Rfam family "Bacterial small subunit ribosomal RNA", at positions 524 to 776 of the family's 1533-position model. The record is from RNAcentral.
UACGUAGGGUCCAAGCGUUAUCCGGAAUCACUGGGCGUAAAGCGUCCGUAGGUGGUCUGUUAAGUGAGAUGUGAAAGCGUGUGGCUCAACCAUAUCGUUGUGUUUCAUACUGGCAGACUAGAGGGAAGCAGAGGCAAGUGGAAUUGGCAGUGUAGCAGUGAAAUGCGUAGAGAUUGCCAGGAACACCAAUGGCGAAGGCAGCUUGCUGGGCUUUUUCUGACACUGAGGGACGAAAGCGUGGGGAGCGAACAGG